AGAGCGAACGCUGGCGGCAGGCCUAAUACAUGCAAGUCGAACGGAUCCUUCGGGAUUAGUGGCGGACGGGUGAGUAACACGUGGGAACGUGCCCUUUGGUUCGGAACAACUCAGGGAAACUUGAGCUAAUACCGGAUGUGCCCUUCGGGGGAAAGAUUUAUCGCCAUUGGAGCGGCCCGCGUCUGAUUAGCUAGUUGGUGGGGUAAAGGCCCACCAAGGCGACGAUCAGUAGCUGGUCUGAGAGGAUGAUCAGCCACACUGGGACUGAGACACGGCCCAGACUCCUACGGGAGGCAGCAGUAGGGAAUCUUGCGCAAUGGGCGAAAGCCUGACGCAGCCAUGCCGCGUGAAUGAUGAAGGUCUUAGGAUUGUAAAAUUCUUUCAGCGGGGACGAUAAUGACGGUACCCGCAGAAGAAGCCCGGCUAACUUCGCGCCAGCAGCCGC
Molecule: ribosomal RNA, 445 nt
Filed under: uncultured bacterium
Lineage: Bacteria
Description: SSU rRNA
Rfam family: Bacterial small subunit ribosomal RNA
Source: RNAcentral